Molecule: non-coding RNA, 190 nt
Filed under: Lactobacillus pasteurii
Lineage: Bacteria; Bacillati; Bacillota; Bacilli; Lactobacillales; Lactobacillaceae
Description: T-box sequence
Rfam family: T-box leader
About the family: Uncharged tRNA acts as the effector for transcription antitermination of genes in the T-box leader family. T-boxes are found upstream of many aminoacyl-tRNA synthetase genes and some amino acid biosynthetic genes usually in Gram-positive bacteria. The anticodon of a specific tRNA base pairs to a specifier sequence within the T-box motif, and the NCCA acceptor tail of the tRNA base pairs to a conserved bulge in the T-box antiterminator hairpin.
Source: RNAcentral
GAAAAAUAAAGGUUAGGAAGUAGUAACUUGGUAUUUUCUUUUAGAGAGAGAUCGGUUGGUGCAAGAUCUUAGAAAAAACAUGUGAACUUGUCCUGUUGAUGAACCUAUCGUUUUGUUACCGCGUUAAGGACUAGCAAGUGUCACCCUUUAGGUGAAACUUAGGUGGUACCGCGGUAAAUUCGUCCUAUGA